ACUCCUACGGGAGGCAGCAGUGGGGAAUAUUGCACAAUGGGGGAAACCCUGAUGCAGCCAUGCCGCGUGUGUGAAGAAGGCCUUCGGGUUGUAAAGCACUUUCUAGUAGGGAGGAAGGUAGUGUAGUUAACACCUGCACUAUUUGACGUUACCUACAGAAGAAGCACCGGCUAACUCCGUGCCAGCAGCCGCGGUAAUACGGAGGGUGCGAGCGUUAAUCGGAAUUACUGGGCGUAAAGCGCAUGCAGGCGGCCUGUUAAGUCAGAUGUGAAAGCCCGGGGCUUAACCUCGGAAUUGCAUUUGAAACUGGCAGACUAGAGUACUGUAGAGGGGGGUAGAAUUUCAGGUGUAGCGGUGAAAUGCGUAGAGAUCUGAAGGAAUACCGGUGGCGAAGGCGGCCCCCUGGACAGAUACUGACACUCAGAUGCGAAAGCGUGGGGAGCAAACAGGAUUAGAUACCCUGGUAGGAUAGCG
Molecule: ribosomal RNA, 474 nt
Filed under: uncultured bacterium
Lineage: Bacteria
Description: bacterial SSU rRNA
Rfam family: Bacterial small subunit ribosomal RNA
Source: RNAcentral